CGCGGCGACGGGUAUUCUCGGGCGGAUAGCACGGGCUGGCUGUUAUUGCUGGAGAAUACGCGUAGCCGAG
MicroRNA precursor from Pterocles gutturalis (yellow-throated sandgrouse), 70 nucleotides. It matches the Rfam family "mir-137 microRNA precursor family". The record is from Rfam. Lineage: Eukaryota; Metazoa; Chordata; Aves; Pterocliformes; Pteroclidae.